This 674-nucleotide unclassified non-coding RNA is filed under the name Dermacentor andersoni. RNAcentral's name for it is "uncharacterized LOC126546949". The record is from RNAcentral. Lineage: Eukaryota; Metazoa; Arthropoda; Arachnida; Ixodida; Ixodidae.
GAGAGCGACUACUACUGCUUCUACAUUCCCUCGCCAGUGGCGUCCUGCUGGCAGACUGAACUUGCCUCCUCGCCCUGCACUACUACUGGUUCUCCACUCCUGUUUCCAACUGCGGUCCACAAGCGUACCCAGCGUGCCCUUAGACGACUCUACGGUCUGCGCUCCAAAAGGUUACUUCGGCCACGAGCAUCACCUGUUCCGGGAGCGACUACUGCUUCUACAUCCCCUCGCCAGUGGCGUCCUGCUGGCAGACUGGACUUGCCUCCUCGCCCUGCACUACUACUGGUUUUGCACUCCUGUUUUCAACUGCGGUCCACAAGCGUACCCAGCGUGCUCUUGCACGACUCUACGGUCUGCGCUCCAAAAAAUUACUUCGGCCACGAGCAUCACCUGUUCCGGGAGCGACUACUACUGCUUCUACAUUCCCUCGCCAGUGGCGUCCUGCUGGCAGACUGGACUUGUCUCAUCGCCCUGCACUACUACUGGUUCUGCACUCCUGUUUUCGACUCGGGUGGGUGCCUAGCACGCUCCUGCACAUCGACUCUCCGUUCUGCGCUCCGACAGAGAUUACUUCGGGCACCAGCAUGACCCGUUCCAUGAGCGACUGCUAUUGCUUCUACGUUCUCUCGCCGACGGCGUCCUGCUGGAAGACUGGACUUAGCCUGGCGCCCUUG